AAAUUUAGGAUAAUAUCUUUAAACCAACGGCCUUCAAAGCCCUAAACAAGAGCGCAACCCUCUUAAUUUCU
This 71-nucleotide transfer RNA is filed under the name Cnemaspis sundainsula. RNAcentral's name for it is "tRNA-Trp". Lineage: Eukaryota; Metazoa; Chordata; Lepidosauria; Squamata; Gekkonidae. The record is from RNAcentral.